GAGUUUGAUCCUGGCUCAGAACGAACGCUGGCGGCGUGCUUAACACAUGCAAGUCGAACGGAAUGGAGGGGCUUGCUCCUUCAUUUAGUGGCGCACGGGUGAGUAACGCGUAGAUAAUCUGCCUGAUGAUCUGGGAUAACACUUCGAAAGGGGUGCUAAUACCGGAUAAGCCCACGACGGCUUUGGUCGUUGCGGGAAAAGGGGGGGACCUUCGGGCCUUCUGUCAUCARAUGAGUCUGCGUACCAUUAGCUAGUUGGUGGGGUAAUGGCCCACCAAGGCUACGAUGGUUAGCUGGUCUGAGAGGAUGAUCAGCCACACUGGAACUGAGACACGGUCCAGACUCCUACGGGAGGCAGCAGUGGGGAAUUUUGCGCAAUGGGGGAAACCCUGACGCAGCAACGCCGCGUGAGUGAUGAAGGCCUUCGGGUCGUAAAGCUCUGUCAGAGGGGAAGAAAUGAGUCUGGCUAAUAUCCAGAUUUCUUGACGGUACCCCUAAAGGAAGCACCGGCUAACUCCGUGCCAGCAGCCGCGGWAAUAC
Molecule: ribosomal RNA, 539 nt
Filed under: uncultured Geobacteraceae bacterium
Lineage: Bacteria; Pseudomonadati; Thermodesulfobacteriota; Desulfuromonadia; Geobacterales; Geobacteraceae
Description: bacterial SSU rRNA
Rfam family: Bacterial small subunit ribosomal RNA
Source: RNAcentral